GGAAAUACACUUUUAUAAAAAAAGAUCUCCCUUUGAUAUCAUUCAAUACAACCACAUGCCAAUGAAGAUAUCAGUUAAAUUUAGAGACAGGAGAGGGAGAGUGGGAAGAGAGAGAGAGAGAGAGAGAGAGAGAGAGAGAGAGAGAGAGAGAGAGAAGGCACCUAAACAGGAAACAUACUUCCUUCCAAAUUAUUGUUCGUGAGCUACUUGAUCGUUAUGUAGCGAUUUGUCCCAUGUCUGGCCCAGUAUUCCUUCA
Molecule: long non-coding RNA, 256 nt
Filed under: Prunus persica (peach)
Lineage: Eukaryota; Viridiplantae; Streptophyta; Magnoliopsida; Rosales; Rosaceae
Description: long non-coding RNA (PPER_LNC008260)
Source: RNAcentral